AAACAACAUUCACUGUGUCAACAGUUGUGCAAAGAACACAAUCCUUUUCUUGUGUUUCAUAAGGGCCGUGCCAUGAGGACAUGAACAGGUCUAGUCAGUGGGAAUAAUUUCUGUGGACAACUCACUGGUCGAAGAAUGCGGCGUGUCUCUUGCAGAGUUUGCUCUAUGCUGUUGACAGAGCAAAGAACCAGGGUGCAGACAACUGCGUCCACCGAUCCAUCGGCCACGGAGGACAGAUCCUCCCCCGACGCCACCAAGAACCUGUCGUAGACGAGGUGGUCGUUCACGCUCAUGUUUUUAUCCAAGUACUUCUGAAAAUUGGGGUUGGGGUCAGUGCAGAUGACCCUGCAGCCCGGGGGAUAAAACUCAAAAUUGGUGCCGCUCCCGCAGCCGAUCUCCAAAAUGGUGAGCUGUCCCCCCGGUCUGCUGAAGUCCGACACUUUACGAAACAACUCCUUCUUCUUGUCGUACAUUUGCUUGUUGUACUUGACAGAAAUCUGGUGCACGCAGAACGGGAAGACGCGUUUGUACGCGUUGUACAGACCCAGCGCUUUCAGGAUAUGGAAGGGCAGACAUAGCGCGUUGACUACGAAACAACAAAUUUUCAUAAAGACACUCAUUGUGGCGCACAAGUUGACCCCCGUGGCAGGCGGCAGCAGCAACAGCAAUACCAGUGAGUCGUCUACGGCCACACACCCACGCACAGCCGAACCUCCGAGCAUGCGCAGUCAAACCAAUCGACUCCUGUUUCAAGUGCGCAACCAAUAGAACAUUACGCGUGGAGUUCUACCAUGUUGCUCCAGGACAAAUGUACAAAUCAGCAGAAAGAGCCGACGAGU
This is a long non-coding RNA of Solea senegalensis (Senegalese sole), 839 nucleotides long. RefSeq lists it as uncharacterized. The record is from RefSeq and is a predicted model, not a curated record. The transcript is spliced from 4 exons. NCBI's taxonomy places the organism in Eukaryota, Metazoa, Chordata, Actinopteri, Pleuronectiformes, Soleidae.